RNAcentral lists this microRNA precursor (122 nucleotides) under Paramuricea clavata. The record is from RNAcentral. Lineage: Eukaryota; Metazoa; Cnidaria; Anthozoa; Malacalcyonacea; Plexauridae.
CAAGGUUGUUCCAACUAGUCCGAUACAGUCAUGAUAUAACGAUAUUGUUACAACCUUGUGUCGUCAACCUUGUAACAUUCUUGUUAUGUCAUGACUGUAUCAGACUUGUAAGAAUAAUCUUG